Molecule: ribosomal RNA, 527 nt
Filed under: uncultured bacterium
Lineage: Bacteria
Description: partial 16S ribosomal RNA
Rfam family: Bacterial small subunit ribosomal RNA
Source: RNAcentral
UGGGGAAUUUUGGACAAUUGGGCGAAAGCCUGAUCCAGCAAUGCCGCGUGUGUGAAGAAGGCCUUCGGGUUGUAAAGCACUUUUGUCCGGAAAGAAAUCCUUGGCUCUAAUACAGUCGGGGGAUGACGGUACCGGAAGAAUAAGCACCGGCUAACUACGUGCCAGCAGCCGCGGUAAUACGUAGGGUGCAAGCGUUAAUCGGAAUUACUGGGCGUAAAGCGUGCGCAGGCGGUUUGCUAAGACCGAUGUGAAAUCCCCGGGCUCAACCUGGGAACUGCAUUGGUGACUGGCAGGCUAGAGUAUGGCAGAGGGGGGUAGAAUUCCACGUGUAGCAGUGAAAUGCGUAGAGAUGUGGAGGAAUACCGAUGGCGAAGGCAGCCCCCUGGGCCAAUACUGACGCUCAUGCACGAAAGCGUGGGGAGCAAACAGGAUUAGAUACCCUGGUAGUCCACGCCCUAAACGAUGUCAACUAGUUGUUGGGGAUUCAUUUCCUUAGUAACGUAGCUAACGCGUGAAGUUGACCGCCU